AUGGAGGUGUGGGCUAUUAUGUGAUAUAAGAGCCAUCUAAAGAGCUAUGGAGAGAAAAAGAUAAUAGAAAUGGCCCAUUUAAAAUAUGUGCAGGGUAUUUUAGUAGACUGAAAUAGAUCCCACGUCAACUUUUUCUUGCUUCUUUAGGAUUUAAAACACAUUUAAAAAUAUUAGACAUUUGAGUCCCAAAGUCCUAAAGUUAUAGUCUAGUUGUCACAGUUUUAAUACACAACAAACAAAACAUGCUGUAGGAUAGUUAGAAAGGACAAACAGCUUAAAUGGACC
This 285-nucleotide long non-coding RNA is filed under the name Rattus norvegicus (Norway rat). RNAcentral describes it as "long non-coding RNA NONRATT032796". Lineage: Eukaryota; Metazoa; Chordata; Mammalia; Rodentia; Muridae. The record is from RNAcentral.